Molecule: small RNA, 594 nt
Filed under: Pongo abelii (Sumatran orangutan)
Lineage: Eukaryota; Metazoa; Chordata; Mammalia; Primates; Hominidae
Description: processed transcript
Source: RNAcentral
CGGCGCCGCGGCCGCUUCUGCUGGUUGAGCUGCUGCCGCCGCCGGGCGGACGGGCGGACGCGCGGAGCUGGGGGCGGCGCGGCGGGGCCGGCGGGGCGCGGCGGGGCUGACCGGCCCCGAUGAGGCGGAAGGAGAAGCGGCUCCUGCAGGCGGUGGCGCUGGUGCUGGCGGCCCUGGUCCUCUUGCCCAACGUGGGGCUUUGGGCGCUGUACCGCGAGCGGCAGCCCGACGGCACCCCUGGGGGAUCGGGGGCGGCAGUGGCGCCGGCGGCGGGACAGCUUGCUUCCCCACCCCAGCCUGGGCAUUCCUGUUUGACUGAGACCAGGAUUAUUCCCGCCUCCCAAGAGCAGAGAGGGCUCAGAUGCACGGCCUCUGCCUUGGUGGGGUGGGCAUUUUCAGCACCUAGCACACCUCCUUACACACAAUGCUUGCCAAAUAAUGGAUGGAAGAAUGGACAUGGGCUGUUACCACCACAUUGAAAAACCUGCAUAUACUAGAAUCACCUGGGCACUCGCCGAGCCAACAGCUUCCUGGUCCCACCUCAGCCCUCCAGAUUCAGCAUUUCUAUGGGUGGACUGGGGAAUCUGCAUGUUU